This 216-nucleotide long non-coding RNA is filed under the name Elaeis guineensis (African oil palm). RNAcentral describes it as "long non-coding RNA (EGUI_LNC067731)". The record is from RNAcentral. Lineage: Eukaryota; Viridiplantae; Streptophyta; Magnoliopsida; Arecales; Arecaceae.
AGUACUAUCCGGACUCCUCCAGCAGUCGACCCUCCAUAGUGUCCUCCAGAUUUCUCCAACAGACGAACUCCUAUCGUACCCUCCAGACUUCUCCGAUAAUGAGCUCCUUCAGUCGUCUAUCGGACUGCUCCAAAUACUCUCUGGGCUUCACUAUCAGCCAAUUUUUUACAGUGAUCGACUACUCUCCGAAUCUCUUUCAAACUUCCUCCUAUCACG